Molecule: ribosomal RNA, 497 nt
Filed under: uncultured bacterium
Lineage: Bacteria
Description: partial 16S ribosomal RNA
Rfam family: Bacterial small subunit ribosomal RNA
Source: RNAcentral
GAUGAACGCUGGCGGCGUGCCUAAUACAUGCAAGUCGAGCGAACGGACGAGAAGCUUGCUUUUCUGACGUUAGCGGCGGACGGGUGAGUAACACGUGGAUAACCUACCUAUAAGACUGGGAUAACUUCGGGAAACCGGAGCUAAUACCGGAUAAUAUUUUGAACCGCAUGGUUCAAAAGUGAAAGACGGUCUUGCUGUCACUUAUAGAUGGGUCCGCGCUGCAUUAGCUAGUUGGUAAGGUAACGGCUUACCAAGGCAACGAUGCAUAGCCGACCUGAGAGGGUGAUCGGCCACACUGGAACUGAGACACGGUCCAGACUCCUACGGGAGGCAGCAGUAGGGAAUCUUCCGCAAUGGGCGAAAGCCUGACGGAGCAACGCCGCGUGAGUGAUGAAGGUCUUCGGAUCGUAAAACUCUGUUAUUAGGGAAGAACAAAUGUGUAAGUAACUGUGCACAUCUUGACGGUACCUAAUCAGAAAGCCACGGCUAGCUACGUG